This is an RNA transcript of Panicum virgatum (switchgrass), 2108 nucleotides long. RefSeq lists it as uncharacterized. The record is from RefSeq and is a predicted model, not a curated record. The transcript is spliced from 2 exons. Lineage: Eukaryota; Viridiplantae; Streptophyta; Magnoliopsida; Poales; Poaceae.
CUCCCCUCCCCACCUCCCUGCGACCCUGCCGCCGCCCUCUCUCCCCUUCUCCUCUGUCUGCCUCCCCGCCGCCACCUCCGCCUGCCUCCAACGUCCAUCCCCGCCGCCGCCGCUCCUGCUCUCCGCCGCCGCCGCACGCUCCCGUAGGAUCCAAAUCCGAUGUGGGGCGCAGCUCGGAGGAGGGGCGCAUGCCGGCAGGCCACGGCGUGGCUGCUACAACGCAUGGAGACGAGCGACGGGCGCCGUGUGCCCAGGUCGGCCCCCGCUGGACCGCGGGCCGUGUCCCCAUCGCCUUGUACACAGAGGAGGGGCGACUCGACGAGGUCGACGGUGAGGAGGUGGCGUGGGCACGGGAGAGCGUGCCGGUGGAGCUCCUCGACGUGCUACGGAAGGCCAAGCACAACACCGUCAGGCUCCGUGCGCUGCAGCGAACGUCGUCGAGCUUGGGAGGAUGUUCAAGGUCUUAAACGACCUCAGGGCGUCACGCGCGGUGUCCCCCAUCUCCCUCCCUCUCCUGCUCCCCGUCGCCGCCCUCUCUAUCUCUCUCUCCCUCUCUGUUCUCCUCCUUUCCCCUUCUCCUGGUCAGUGAUGGUCAAUCACCAGCGGUUCCCAGUGGGCAGCUUCGCAUUGGCCAUGGCUCACGCACACCACUUUUUCUCCUCCCCUGCUGGCAACGCAAUAGCAGCCUUUGUUGCAGUCCUAUGAUCUACUCAAGCCUGCUUCUUCUUUUGCUGCAAGGUGUUAGAUCUGAUGAUGGAAAUAUGAUUUAAUUUGGGAAGGGAAGAAAUCGGGUGAGAUAUUUGUUAGAUAUUUGUUGUUAUUCUGCCAUCUUUUCCCGCAACACUUGCCUGACCAAAUGUUCUUGGAGUAUAAAUUGAUGAUGCAUCAUUAAAUGGAGAACUCUAAAAUAUUUUGUUCCUGCUAUAGAACUUUUUGGUGAUCAAGAGUGAAGGUUUCUUAUGAUUGUUUUCUCAUGCUGCAUCAGGAGUGGAAUUAUCAUGCUAUAAUAAUUGUUUUCUCUUGAUUACAGUGGAUGAUUGAUUCAAGUUCUUUAGCACUUGUUUUUAGACCAGAGCAGGUGAGAUGCCGAUGACCAGAGCAGGUGACAUGCCUUUCUACUAAAAUGGUUAUGUGCAGGGCGUCAGAUUUGCUGAACAUUCAGUUAGAGGCCUUUCGCAGUGAAACCUUCCAUAUUUUUUUAUUAGCUACUCGGGAUAACUGCAUAGGUUUGUUCUACCUAUAGCAUAGGAUCUAAAAUAUUGCCGUGUGGUUUGAGCUUUAAUACUCGUUCUGUUUGUCAUGAUAAUUCUUGAUCUGCUACCUUAUUUAAUUCUACUAUGUUUUAUCAAACUUUUUCUAAAGUCAAGUGGUUAUUUAUUUUCUAAUGAAACAGAUUUCCAAACCUUUUUGUGUAAUCUGUGAAAAUUUACCACUAAUGUUUAAAUAUAUGAGAUCACUCUCAUAUGUAAGAUCUGUUACAAAACCUCUGUAAAUCUGUCCUUGUUACAAAUAAGCAAAAAGAAUCAUAAAUGCACUAUCUAAUCUUAAUGAUAUGUUUGGACCAUAUUGCAUCAAGUCAUGUUUGGACCAUAUAAAUGAUUUUUGCUCUGUGCACUGGUAGUAAUGGUGAGAGGGUGUUGAUGCAUACAGCGCCUACUAGAAUAAGCUUUCUUGUUCCUAGAUCAGUGAUAUAUGGCCUCUUGUGGGCUCUGGCAGGUGUACCAGCAUGCGAGGAUCACACUUGGUUACCUCUAGCCUAUUCAUUAUAGGUGCCAAUCUUAGUUUCAGUUGGGGAAAAUGGCAUAGUAUUAAUAAUUGGAUAUCACAAAAGCCUUGCUGAAAGAUAAUUAUUUACUUUCUAAUAUUUGCAUGUUCUGCUGUGUUGAUUUACUCUUCUGCUCAUAAUCAUGUUUCAUUUGCUAUGAGUAGAUGUAUGUAGUUUUGAAUGAAAAAUAGAUAUCUGAACAACAAGAGGAAGAUGUAAGCAGUGUAUCUGAAGUGCUAUUAAUUAAAAAGGAAAAAACAUUCUUUCUCUUGAGUCACUAUAAAUGGUGAGCUUUUUAUCUUGGUCCUAUCUUAAAUAUGUCUUGUUUCAAAGGCUGUAAACA